Molecule: ribosomal RNA, 379 nt
Filed under: uncultured cyanobacterium
Lineage: Bacteria; Bacillati; Cyanobacteriota
Description: bacterial SSU rRNA
Rfam family: Bacterial small subunit ribosomal RNA
Source: RNAcentral
CGAAAGCCUGACGGAGCAACGCCGCGUGUGGGAAGAAGGCCUUUGGGCUGUCAACCACUUUUCUCAGGGAAGAAGCUCUGACGGUACCUGAGGAAUCAGCCUCGGCUAACUCCGUGCCAGCAGCCGCGGUAAUACGGAGGAGGCAAGCGUUAUCCGGAAUUAUUGGGCGUAAAGCGUCCGCAGGGGGCGCAUCAAGUCUGCUGUUAAAGGUCGGAGCUCAACUCCGGUAGAGCAGUGGAAACUGGUGCGCUAGAGGGCGACAGGGGUAGAGGGAAUUCCCAGUGUAGCGGUGAAAUGCGUAGAGAUUGGGAAGAACACCGGUGGCGAAAGCGCUCUACUGGGUCGCGCCUGACCCUCAGGGACGAAAGCUAGGGGAGCG